This 100-nucleotide transfer RNA is filed under the name Rhizoctonia solani. RNAcentral describes it as "tRNA-Arg". It matches the Rfam family "tRNA". Rfam says of the family: Transfer RNA (tRNA) molecules are approximately 80 nucleotides in length. Their secondary structure includes four short double-helical elements and three loops (D, anti-codon, and T loops). The record is from RNAcentral. Lineage: Eukaryota; Fungi; Basidiomycota; Agaricomycetes; Cantharellales; Ceratobasidiaceae.
GCCGCGUUGGCUCAAUGGUAGAGCGUCGCCCUCCUAAGCUCCGAUUCUUAAUUAGAGCCGGAUUAGGCGAAGGCUGCGGGUUCGAGUCCCGUGCGUGGUA